UAAGGUUUCUGUUGGCGAAGUACUUUGCGAAGUUGAAACUGAUAAAGCCACCGUGGAAAUGGAAUGCAUGGAAGAUGGCUAUCUUGCUAAGAUUGUACACGGAGAUGGAGCAAAAGAAAUUAAAGUCGGUGAGAUAAUUGCUAUUACUGUGGAAGAAGAAGGUGACAUUGAAAAAUUUAAAGAUUAUAGUCCUUCAGCAUCUGAUGAGCCUGCUGCAAAGGCAUCACCUGAACCCGCUUCACCUAAAAAGGAGCCAGAGCCUGAGCCCGAUAGAGCUCCUGAACCCGAUAGAGCUCCUGAGCCUAAGGCUCCAAAGGCUGAACAAACCUCUGGCACAGAAGAUCGUAUCUUCUCAAGUCCUCUUGCAAG
This 369-nucleotide unclassified non-coding RNA is filed under the name Hevea brasiliensis (rubber tree). Lineage: Eukaryota; Viridiplantae; Streptophyta; Magnoliopsida; Malpighiales; Euphorbiaceae. The record is from RNAcentral.